GCAGUGGGGAAUNUUGGGCAAUGGGCAAGGCGCCUGAUCCAGCCAUAUAGAGUGAUUCUGCGUCAAUUGACGUUCAGCCGUCCCAUGGCAGCCCGGCCUGGCAAUAGUUUUUAUUUUAUUUUUAAACUUUAAUUUAAAAACCCCACCAGGUGUAAACCCUUUAAACUAAAGGGGGCGGACGUUAAGAAAAACAAAAAGAGUAUUGGCAUACGACCGUCCACUGUCUCAGCGGUCCAUGACGAUAAGGAAACAAAACGAGAAUUGACGUUAAGAAAAAUAAAAGAUCUGGAGGUAAGGAGAAUAAUGAUACAACUUACCUAUAAAUCCUGACCAACCUCGUGCCAGCAGUCGCGGUAAGACGAAGAGGAUGAGCGUAAUUCAUGAUGUAUAGGUGUAAAGGGUCUGUAGGCGGCGAAAGCUAGAGUGUUACAUGGGAAAAGAGGAAUUAAGUAAGUAGGGAUAAAAUCCAAUGAUCUAUUUAGGAAGGUCGAGGGCGAAGGCAUCUUUCUAGGAACACUGACGCUAAGGGACUAAAGUGUGGGGAGCAAAAAGGAUUAGAUACCCCAUUAGUCCACA
This 576-nucleotide ribosomal RNA is filed under the name Conidiobolus pseudapiculatus. RNAcentral describes it as "partial small subunit ribosomal RNA". It matches the Rfam family "Bacterial small subunit ribosomal RNA", at positions 351 to 799 of the family's 1533-position model. The record is from RNAcentral. Lineage: Eukaryota; Fungi; Entomophthoromycota; Entomophthoromycetes; Entomophthorales; Conidiobolaceae.